CAUGUGCAGCCCUCUGGACAGUUGCUGCGAAAUUAUUAUUUCCAAUCCACUUGAUCAUCUAGAAAUGAGACGUACAGGUAGUCCUCGCUUAACGACCACAACUGGGACCAGAAUUUUGGUUGCUAAGUGAAGCAGUCAUUAAGCAAAUCUGGCCCAAUUUUACGACCUUUUUUGCGGUGGUUGUUAAGCAAAUCAUUGUGGGCAUUAACAAACCACAUGGUCGUUAAAAAAAUCAUGUGGUUCACCACUGAUUUUGCUUGCCAGAAACCGGCCAGAAAGGUUGAAAAUGGCGAUCACAUGACCACGGGAUGCUGCGAUGGUCAUAAAAGCAAACUAGUUGCCAAGUGCCUGAACUGUAAUCAUAUGACUGCAGGGAUGCUGCAACGGUUGUAAGUGUGAGAACAUUUUUUCAGCACCAUUGUAA
Molecule: long non-coding RNA, 424 nt
Organism: Candoia aspera
Lineage: Eukaryota; Metazoa; Chordata; Lepidosauria; Squamata; Candoiidae
Exons: 3
Source: RefSeq, a predicted model, not a curated record